This 253-nucleotide ribosomal RNA is filed under the name uncultured bacterium. RNAcentral describes it as "partial 16S ribosomal RNA". It matches the Rfam family "Bacterial small subunit ribosomal RNA", at positions 524 to 776 of the family's 1533-position model. The record is from RNAcentral.
UACAGAGGUCCCAAGCGUUGUUCAGAUUCAUUGGGCGUAAAGGGUGCGUAGGCGGCGCGGUAAGUCGGGUGUGAAAUCUCGGGGCUUAACUCCGAAACUGCAUUCGAUACUGCCGUGCUUGAGGACUGGAGAGGAGACUGGAAUUUACGGUGUAGCGGUGAAAUGCGUAGAUAUCGUAAGGAAGACCAGUGGCGAAGGCGGGUCUCUGGACAGUUCCUGACGCUGAGGCACGAAGGUCAGGGGAGCAAACGGG